RNAcentral lists this ribosomal RNA (654 nucleotides) under Escherichia coli. RNAcentral's name for it is "partial 23S ribosomal RNA". It matches the Rfam family "Bacterial large subunit ribosomal RNA", at positions 2230 to 2878 of the family's 2925-position model. Lineage: Bacteria; Pseudomonadati; Pseudomonadota; Gammaproteobacteria; Enterobacterales; Enterobacteriaceae. The record is from RNAcentral.
GACCCGUAAUCCGGGUUGCGGACAGUGUCUGGUGGGUAGUUUGACUGGGGCGGUCUCCUCCUAAAGAGUAACGGAGGAGCACGAAGGUUGGCUAAUCCUGGUCGGACAUCAGGAGGUUAGUGCAAUGGCAUAAGCCAGCUUGACUGCGAGCGUGACGGCGCGAGCAGGUGCGAAAGCAGGUCAUAGUGAUCCGGUGGUUCUGAAUGGAAGGGCCAUCGCUCAACGGAUAAAAGGUACUCCGGGGAUAACAGGCUGAUACCGCCCAAGAGUUCAUAUCGACGGCGGUGUUUGGCACCUCGAUGUCGGCUCAUCACAUCCUGGGGCUGAAGUAGGUCCCAAGGGUAUGGCUGUUCGCCAUUUAAAGUGGUACGCGAGCUGGGUUUAGAACGUCGUGAGACAGUUCGGUCCCUAUCUGCCGUGGGCGCUGGAGAACUGAGGGGGGCUGCUCCUAGUACGAGAGGACCGGAGUGGACGCAUCACUGGUGUUCGGGUUGUCAUGCCAAUGGCACUGCCCGGUAGCUAAAUGCGGAAGAGAUAAGUGCUGAAAGCAUCUAAGCACGAAACUUGCCCCGAGAUGAGUUCUCCCUGACUCCUUGAGAGUCCUGAAGGAACGUUGAAGACGACGACGUUGAUAGGCCGGGUGUGUAAGCGCAG